This 1412-nucleotide ribosomal RNA is filed under the name Lactiplantibacillus plantarum. RNAcentral describes it as "bacterial SSU rRNA". It matches the Rfam family "Bacterial small subunit ribosomal RNA". Lineage: Bacteria; Bacillati; Bacillota; Bacilli; Lactobacillales; Lactobacillaceae. The record is from RNAcentral.
UGCAGUCGACGAACUCUGGUAUUGAUUGGUGCUUGCAUCAUGAUUUACAUUUGAGUGAGUGGCGAACUGGUGAGUAACACGUGGGAAACCUGCCCAGAAGCGGGGGAUAACACCUGGAAACAGAUGCUAAUACCGCAUAACAACUUGGACCGCAUGGUCCGAGUUUGAAAGAUGGCUUCGGCUAUCACUUUUGGAUGGUCCCGCGGCGUAUUAGCUAGAUGGUGGGGUAACGGCUCACCAUGGCAAUGAUACGUAGCCGACCUGAGAGGGUAAUCGGCCACAUUGGGACUGAGACACGGCCCAAACUCCUACGGGAGGCAGCAGUAGGGAAUCUUCCACAAUGGACGAAAGUCUGAUGGAGCAACGCCGCGUGAGUGAAGAAGGGUUUCGGCUCGUAAAACUCUGUUGUUAAAGAAGAACAUAUCUGAGAGUAACUGUUCAGGUAUUGACGGUAUUUAACCAGAAAGCCACGGCUAACUACGUGCCAGCAGCCGCGGUAAUACGUAGGUGGCAAGCGUUGUCCGGAUUUAUUGGGCGUAAAGCGAGCGCAGGCGGUUUUUUAAGUCUGAUGUGAAAGCCUUCGGCUCAACCGAAGAAGUGCAUCGGAAACUGGGAAACUUGAGUGCAGAAGAGGACAGUGGAACUCCAUGUGUAGCGGUGAAAUGCGUAGAUAUAUGGAAGAACACCAGUGGCGAAGGCGGCUGUCUGGUCUGUAACUGACGCUGAGGCUCGAAAGUAUGGGUAGCAAACAGGAUUAGAUACCCUGGUAGUCCAUACCGUAAACGAUGAAUGCUAAGUGUUGGAGGGUUUCCGCCCUUCAGUGCUGCAGCUAACGCAUUAAGCAUUCCGCCUGGGGAGUACGGCCGCAAGGCUGAAACUCAAAGGAAUUGACGGGGGCCCGCACAAGCGGUGGAGCAUGUGGUUUAAUUCGAAGCUACGCGAAGAACCUUACCAGGUCUUGACAUACUAUGCAAAUCUAAGAGAUUAGACGUUCCCUUCGGGGACAUGGAUACAGGUGGUGCAUGGUUGUCGUCAGCUCGUGUCGUGAGAUGUUGGGUUAAGUCCCGCAACGAGCGCAACCCUUAUUAUCAGUUGCCAGCAUUAAGUUGGGCACUCUGGUGAGACUGCCGGUGACAAACCGGAGGAAGGUGGGGAUGACGUCAAAUCAUCAUGCCCCUUAUGACCUGGGCUACACACGUGCUACAAUGGAUGGUACAACGAGUUGCGAACUCGCGAGAGUAAGCUAAUCUCUUAAAGCCAUUCUCAGUUCGGAUUGUAGGCUGCAACUCGCCUACAUGAAGUCGGAAUCGCUAGUAAUCGCGGAUCAGCAUGCCGCGGUGAAUACGUUCCCGGGCCUUGUACACACCGCCCGUCACACCAUGAGAGUUUGUAACACCCAAAGUCGGUGGGGU